UAUCAAGUAUCUUGACGAUGA
RNAcentral lists this non-coding RNA (21 nucleotides) under Arabidopsis thaliana (thale cress). The record is from RNAcentral. Lineage: Eukaryota; Viridiplantae; Streptophyta; Magnoliopsida; Brassicales; Brassicaceae.